GAUGAACGCUGGCGGCGUGCCUAAUACAUGCAAGUAGAACGCUGAAGGAAGGAGCUUGCUCUUUCCGGAUGAGUUGCGAACGGGUGAGUAACGCGUAGGUAACCUGCCUGGUAGCGGGGGAUAACUAUUGGAAACGAUAGCUAAUACCGCAUAACAGUAGAUGUUGCAUGAUAUCUACUUAAAAGGUGCAAUUGCACCACUACCAGAUGGACCUGCGUUGUAUUAGCUAGUUGGUGAGGUAACGGCUCACCAAGGCGACGAUACAUAGCCGACCUGAGAGGGUGGUCAGCCACACUGGGAGUGAGACACGGCCCAGACUCCUACAGGAGGCAGCAGUAGGGAAUCUUCGGCAAGGGGCGGAAGUCUGACCGAGCAACGCCGCGUGAGUGAAGAAGGUUUUCGGAUCGUAAAGCUCUGUUGUAAGGGAAGAACGAGUGUGAGAGUGGAAAGUUCACACUGUGACGGUAUCUUACCAGAAAGGGACGGCUAACUACGUG
Molecule: ribosomal RNA, 497 nt
Filed under: uncultured bacterium
Lineage: Bacteria
Description: partial 16S ribosomal RNA
Rfam family: Bacterial small subunit ribosomal RNA
Source: RNAcentral